This 1367-nucleotide ribosomal RNA is filed under the name uncultured bacterium. RNAcentral describes it as "bacterial SSU rRNA". It matches the Rfam family "Bacterial small subunit ribosomal RNA", at positions 28 to 1381 of the family's 1533-position model. The record is from RNAcentral.
GAUGAACGCUGGCGGCGUGCCUAAUACAUGCAAGUCGAGCGAAGGGACGAGAAGCUUGCUUCUCUGAUGUUAGCGGCGGACGGGUGAGUAACACGUGGAUAACCUACCUAUAAGACUGGGAUAACUUCGGGAAACCGGAGCUAAUACCGGAUAAUAUUUUGAACCGCAUGGUUCAAAAGUGAAAGACGGUCUUGCUGUCACUUAUAGAUGGAUCCGCGCUGCAUUAGCUAGUUGGUAAGGUAACGGCUUACCAAGGCAACGAUGCAUAGCCGACCUGAGAGGGUGAUCGGCCACACUGGAACUGAGACACGGUCCAGACCCCUACGGGAGGCAGCAGUAGGGAAUCUUCCGCAAUGGGCGAAAGCCUGACGGAGCAACGCCGCGUGAGUGAUGAAGGUCUUCGGAUCGUNAAACUCUGUUAUUAGGGAAGAACAUAUGUGUAAGUAACUGUGCACAUCUUGACGGUACCUAAUCAGAAAGCCACGGCUAACUACGUGCCAGCAGCCGCGGGUAUACGUNAGUGGCAGCGUUAUCCGGAUUUAUGGGCGUAAGCGCGCGUNAGCGGUUUUUUAGUCUGAUGUGAAAGCCCACGGCUCACCGUGGAGGGUCAUUGGAAACUGGAAAACUUGAGUGCAGAUUAGGAAAGUGGAAUUCCAUGUGUAGCGGUGAAAUGCGCAGAGAUAUGGAGGAACACCAGUGGCGAAGGCGACUUUCUGGUCUGUAACUGACGCUGAUGUGCGAAAGCGUGGGGAUCAAACAGGAUUAGAUACCCUGGUAGUCCACGCCGUAAACGAUGAGUGCUAAGUGUUAGGGGGUUUCCGCCCCUUAGUGCUGCAGCUAACGCAUUAAGCACUCCGCCUGGGGAGUACGACCGCAAGGUUGAAACUCAAAGGAAUUGACGGGGACCCGCACAAGCGGUGGAGCAUGUGGUUUAAUUCGAAGCAACGCGAAGAACCUUACCAAAUCUUGACAUCCUUUGACAACUCUAGAGAUAGAGCCUUCCCCUUCGGGGGACAAAGUGACAGGUGGUGCAUGGUGGUCGUCAGCUCGUGUCGUGAGAUGUUGGGUUAAGUCCCGCAACGAGCGCAACCCUUAAGCUUAGUUGCCAUCAUUAAGUUGGGCACUCUAAGUUGACUGCCGGUGACAAACCGGAGGAAGGUGGGGAUGACGUCAAAUCAUCAUGCCCCUUAUGAUUUGGGCUACACACGUGCUACAAUGGACAAUACAAAGGGCAGCGAAACCGCGAGGUCAAGCAAAUCCCAUAAAGUUGUUCUCAGUUCGGAUUGUAGUCUGCAACUCGACUACAUGAAGCUGGAAUCGCUAGUAAUCGUAGAUCAGCAUGCUACGGUGAAUACGUUCCCGGGUCU